Molecule: ribosomal RNA, 653 nt
Filed under: uncultured Acinetobacter sp.
Lineage: Bacteria; Pseudomonadati; Pseudomonadota; Gammaproteobacteria; Moraxellales; Moraxellaceae
Description: bacterial SSU rRNA
Rfam family: Bacterial small subunit ribosomal RNA
Source: RNAcentral
GAUUCCUACGGGAGGCAGCAGUGGGGAAUAUUGGACAAUGGGGGGAACCCUGAUCCAGCCAUGCCGCGUGUGUGAAGAAGGCCUUUUGGUUGUAAAGCACUUUAAGCGAGGAGGAGGCUACCUAGAUUAAUACUUUAGGAUAGUGGACGUUACUCGCAGAAUAAGCACCGGCUAACUCUGUGCCAGCAGCCGCGGUAAUACAGAGGGUGCGAGCGUUAAUCGGAUUUACUGGGCGUAAAGCGUGCGUAGGCGGCCAAUUAAGUCAAAUGUGAAAUCCCCGAGCUUAACUUGGGAAUUGCAUUCGAUACUGGUUGGCUAGAGUAUGGGAGAGGAUGGUAGAAUUCCAGGUGUAGCGGUGAAAUGCGUAGAGAUCUGGAGGAAUACCGAUGGCGAAGGCAGCCAUCUGGCCUAAUACUGACGCUGAGGUACGAAAGCAUGGGGAGCAAACAGGAUUAGAUACCCUGGUAGUCCAUGCCGUAAACGAUGUCUACUAGCCGUUGGGGCCCUUGAGGCUUUAGUGGCGCAGCUAACGCGAUAAGUAGACCGCCUGGGGAGUACGGUCGCAAGACUAAAACUCAAAUGAAUUGACGGGGGCCCGCACAAGCGGUGGAGCAUGUGGUUUAAUUCGAUGCAACGCGAAGAACCUUACCUGG